UCCGCUGGCCUAUGGACCCCUGCCCUCCGGGGGCGGGAUCCGGCAGGACGUGGUCCCAGGCGCGAGGAGCAGGUCCCCCCGGCCUCCGCCCUCGGCCUCGACUCCCGCCUCUGGGCAGGGGAUGCGGUGGGUAGGCGCUGGGCCCAGGCCGAGGCGGGGGCCGAGGGGCCUCUCCCGCCCGGGUCCGCAGCUGUCCCCACACCUCUGCAUGGUCGCCCGGGCCUCACCGAAGCCCCCCCAGCCCAGGUCCCUCCGUCUCGCUCCCAGACCGCGACUUCCCGCGGCGGGAUCGGCCCCCGGCCCCCGCUCCGGCCCCUGCGCCCCCCGCGAGCCUCCCGGCAGGGGCGGCGGUGCCCUCCCUGGGUGGGGGACCGGCGCGUCUGAGGGUGUCGCCUGCCGGGGACGGGGCGGGGGCUCGGGCCACUCACCGCGUGCGCCGGCGGGUCAGCAGCAGCAGCAGCAGCAGCGCGGCCAGGAGGCCGAGGAGUGCGGCCCAGGACAUGGCAGCGGCGAGCGCGGUCCCUCCAGGGCUGUGAGGAGAGAGUUAAACGAUGCGAGAAUGAAUCACCCGGCACAGGCCAGGCGCACAGUAGGAUGACCUUCCGCGUUGGCUGCAGGGAGGACUGAGGUAAUCAUCCAAAGCACCUUGGACGGUACUUGCCCCUGGGAAGAAUUCAAAGCUGGAAGCAUUUGAAUCUGGCUGUGGCAUCUUGCAAGAACAGGUGGGCCCUGAAAAGCGCAGAAGUUCCAAACUCCCCUGGCCCCUGUGGCCUGGAAGGACCCUGCUGAAUCCAGGGCUGGUAAGGCCUCAGGGGUAGAGGAGUGACCCCGCUCGCCCACCAUGGAGGAGCUGGAAUACAAGGACCUGCGAGCCAAGUUCAAAUCCCAUUGUCAUCGCUCACUUCACACAUGAUCCUGGGCAAGUCACCUCACCUCUCUGAGCCUCGACUCUGUAUCUAUGCCACGGGCACAUUGCUGGUGAUCUCAGGGAGGCCAACUUGGCAUCUAAGGCUGCACCUGGGAAGCGAAGCCCACAGGCUAGCGACUCUCAGCAGACUCCUCUGCCUGUGGCACGCAGCGGGACAUUCUGCUGGCGGAGUUGCGGCAUGUCCAGACGUCUGCUCUCCCGCAGAAACGAGGGGAACAGCUUUUCCCUGCUGAGCCAAGAGCCGGCCAUCUAUGGACUGAGGCUUCUGAAACCAUGAAUGCCAAAUAAAUAAAUUUUUUCUCCUC
Sciurus carolinensis (gray squirrel) is the source of this 1233-nucleotide long non-coding RNA. RefSeq lists it as uncharacterized. The record is from RefSeq and is a predicted model, not a curated record. The transcript is spliced from 4 exons. Lineage: Eukaryota; Metazoa; Chordata; Mammalia; Rodentia; Sciuridae.